AAAAAAAAAUAUACGACCACGGCAGGGAUCGAACCUGCAAUCCCCAGAUUCGAAGUCUGAUGCCUUAUCCAUUAGGCCACGCGGCCAC
RNAcentral lists this transfer RNA (88 nucleotides) under Caenorhabditis elegans. RNAcentral describes it as "Unclassified non-coding RNA K03E6.8". The record is from RNAcentral. Lineage: Eukaryota; Metazoa; Nematoda; Chromadorea; Rhabditida; Rhabditidae.